ACAUUAUUGUAUUAAUAGAGGUACAAGGGCUGUAGCUAACUUUUCAAGUUGUGCACGCCUGAAUGCCUCUUAUACACCCAAUCUUACCCCUUUGUGCAUCACCACGUGGGUCCCUUUCUUUUGGUUUAUUCUGAAAGGGGGGGCUUGCGUUUUUAACAUAGACACCCCUUUGAAUUCAGUAUAGAAUGUCUUUAAUAUGUGAUUAAUACAACUUUCAACAACGGAUCUCUUGGCUCUCGCAUCGAUGAAGAACGCAGCGAAAUGCGAUACGUAAUGUGAAUUGCAGAAUUCAGUGAAUCAUCGAAUCUUUGAACGCAUCUUGCACCCCUUGGCAUUCCGAGGGGUACACCCGUUUGAGUGUCGUGAAUAUCCUCAACCUUCUUGGUUUCUUGAUCAAGAAGGCUUGGAAUUUGGAGGCUUUUGCUGGCUUCCUUCAAAGCCAGCUCCUCUUAAAUGAAUUAGUAGGGUCCACUUUGCUGAUCCUUGACGUGAUAAGAUACUUUCUACGUCUUGGGUUUUUGCAAACCUGCUUCUAACUGUCUCGUCGGAGACUGAACUCAUAUAUAUUAAACUCUUGACCUCAAAUCGGGUGAGACUACCCGCUGAACUUAAGCAUAUCAAUAA
Molecule: small RNA, 624 nt
Filed under: Russula sp. HMAS 280181
Lineage: Eukaryota; Fungi; Basidiomycota; Agaricomycetes; Russulales; Russulaceae
Description: eukaryotic LSU rRNA
Rfam family: 5.8S ribosomal RNA (bases 210-363)
Source: RNAcentral